This 207-nucleotide ribosomal RNA is filed under the name uncultured bacterium. Its description in RNAcentral is "partial 16S ribosomal RNA". It matches the Rfam family "Bacterial small subunit ribosomal RNA", at positions 568 to 774 of the family's 1533-position model. The record is from RNAcentral.
UGCGUAGGCGGCCCUAUAAGUAUGGUGUGAAAUCUCCCGGCUUAACUGGGAGGGUGCGCUAUAGACUGUGGGGCUAGAGGGUGGGAGAGGAAAGUGGAAUUCCUGGUGUAGCGGUGAAAUGCGUAGAUAUCAGGAGGAACACCGGUGGUGUAAACGGCUUUCUGGACCACUUCUGACGCUGAGGCACGAAAGCGUGGGUAGCAAGCA